CCGCCCAAGAGUUCAUAUCGACGGCGGUGUUUGGCACCUCGAUGUCGGCUCAUCACAUCCUGGGGCUGAAGUAGGUCCCAAGGGUAUGGCUGUUCGCCAUUUAAAGUGGUACGCGAGCUGGGUUUAGAACGUCGUGAGACAGUUCGGUCCCUAUCUGCCGUGGGCGCUGGAGAAUUGAGGGGGGCUGCUCCUAGUACGAGAGGACCGGAGUGGACGCAUCACUGGUGUUCGGGUUGUCAUGCCAAUGGCACUGCCCGGUAGCUAAAUGCGGAAGAGAUAAGUGCUGAAAGCAUCUAAGCACGAAACUUGCCCCGAGAUGAGUUCUCCCUGAGACUUUAAGUCUCCUGAAGGAACGUUGAAGACGACGACGUUGAUAGGCCGGGUGUGUAAGCGCAGCGAUGCGUUGAGCUAACCGGUACUAAUGAACCGUGAGGCUUAACCUUACAACGCCGAAG
RNAcentral lists this ribosomal RNA (455 nucleotides) under Klebsiella pneumoniae. RNAcentral's name for it is "bacterial LSU rRNA". It matches the Rfam family "Bacterial large subunit ribosomal RNA", at positions 2488 to 2925 of the family's 2925-position model. The record is from RNAcentral. Lineage: Bacteria; Pseudomonadati; Pseudomonadota; Gammaproteobacteria; Enterobacterales; Enterobacteriaceae.